UAAGUAUAAGCAACUAUACGGUGAAACUGCGAAUGGCUCAUUAAAUCAGUUAUCGUUUAUUUGAUAGUACCUUACUACUUGGAUAACCGUGGUAAUUCUAGAGCUAAUACAUGCUAAAAACCUCGACUUCGGAAGGGGUGUAUUUAUUAGAUAAAAAACCAAUGCCUCCGGGCUCCUUGGUGAUUCAUAAUAACUAAACGAAUCGCAUGGCCUUGCGCCGGCGAUGGUUCAUUCAAAUUUCUGCCCUAUCAACUUUCGAUGGUAGGAUAGUGGCCUACCAUGGUAUCAACGGGUAACGGGGAAUUAGGGUUCUAUUCCGGAGAGGGAGCCUGAGAAACGGCUACCACAUCCAAGGAAGGCAGCAGGCGCGCAAAUUACCCAAUCCCGACACGGGGAGGUAGUGACAAUAAAUACUGAUACAGGGCUCUUUUGGGUCUUGUAAUUGGAAUGAGUACAAUUUAAAUCCCUUAACGAGGAACAAUUGGAGGGCAAGUCUGGUGCCAGCAGCCGCGGUAAUUCCAGCUCCAAUAGCGUAUAUUAAAGUUGUUGCAGUUAAAAAGCUCGUAGUUGAACCUUGGGCCUGGCUGGCCGGUCCGCCUCACCGCGUGUACUGGUCCGGCCGGGCCUUUCCUUCUGGGGAGCCGCAUGCCCUUCACUGGGCGUGUUGGGGAACCAGGACUUUUACUUUGAAAAAAUUAGAGUGUUCAAAGCAGGCCUUUGCUCGAAUACAUUAGCAUGGAAUAAUAGAAUAGGACGUGCGGUUCUAUUUUGUUGGUUUCUAGGACCGCCGUAAUGAUUAAUAGGGAUAGUCGGGGGCAUCAGUAUUCAAUUGUCAGAGGUGAAAUUCUUGGAUUUAUUGAAGACUAACUACUGCGAAAGCAUUUGCCAAGGAUGUUUUCAUUAAUCAGUGAACGAAAGUUAGGGGAUCGAAGACGAUCAGAUACCGUCGUAGUCUUAACCAUAAACUAUGCCGACUAGGGAUCGGGCGAUGUUAUCAUUUUGACUCGCUCGGCACCUUACGAGAAAUCAAAGUCUUUGGGUUCUGGGGGGAGUAUGGUCGCAAGGC
This 1066-nucleotide ribosomal RNA is filed under the name Xenomeris abietis. RNAcentral's name for it is "SSU rRNA". It matches the Rfam family "Eukaryotic small subunit ribosomal RNA", at positions 60 to 1137 of the family's 1831-position model. Lineage: Eukaryota; Fungi; Ascomycota; Dothideomycetes; Mycosphaerellales; Mycosphaerellaceae. The record is from RNAcentral.